This 253-nucleotide ribosomal RNA is filed under the name uncultured bacterium. Its description in RNAcentral is "partial 16S ribosomal RNA". It matches the Rfam family "Bacterial small subunit ribosomal RNA", at positions 524 to 776 of the family's 1533-position model. The record is from RNAcentral.
UACGAAGGGUGCAAGCGUUAAUCGGAAUUACUGGGCGUAAAGCGCGCGUAGGUGGUUCAGCAAGUUGGAUGUGAAAGCCCCGGGCUCAACCUGGGAACUGCAUCCAAAACUACUGGGCUAGAGUACGGUAGAGGGUGGUGGAAUUUCCUGUGUAGCGGUGAAAUGCGUAGAUAUAGGAAGGAACACCAGUGGCGAAGGCGACCACCUGGACUGAUACUGACACUGAGGUGCGAAAGCGUGGGGAGCAAACAGG